UACGGUGAAAGGAACCGUAGUGAGACCGAGAUCCGAAAAGGGUCUUACACCAUGAAAUGGUGUUGUGUCAGGCCACGUGGGCCGAGUGAAUCUUGUCCUGAGGGGCAGGAGGCGUCGAGUUGCAAGAUUAAUUACUAAUGUGUGCACUUGAUGUAUGGUGCAGGUGCCCCAGCGGGGGUGCAAGCCGAAGUAUUCGGGUCCAAGCAUAAGACUACGACACAGAAGAGUAUGAAGUGGCUGAAGAUUGAAGCCACAAGCGAGAUGGUCAGUGGACCAUGAGCUGCGUUGGUCAGUGGACCGUGAGUUCUUGUGGUCAGAGGAUCACGAGAGUGUGUGUGUGAACCAGGAUAUUGAACUUGUAUUGGCCGAAAGGGAAGGCUUCACGAGUAGUGGUGGUCAGUGGGCCACGACAGGAUGUUUUCCAGUGGAACAAGAAAGGGAAAACGGCCAGUUGACAAGGCCUCAGUCGUGCAAGUCAGUGGACCUUGAGGAUCGAGCGGGUGAAUCCCCGAGUCAAACAAAUCAGUGGGCUAGAAGUGCUGGUAGAUCAGUGGGUCUCCGAGUAUAAGCGGAUUUUGGGACGCCCUAGGAACUGGGCUGGAAUCAAAACUAUCGAGCAAUAGAACCAUCGAGGAGACAGGGUUGCGCAUAAUGCUGUGCCGAGUUUCCAGUAAAAGUGGG
RNAcentral lists this long non-coding RNA (681 nucleotides) under Durio zibethinus. Its description in RNAcentral is "long non-coding RNA (DZIB_LNC000899)". The record is from RNAcentral. Lineage: Eukaryota; Viridiplantae; Streptophyta; Magnoliopsida; Malvales; Malvaceae.